AGGGGUGUAGCUCAAUGGCAGAGCCACUAGUGGAUGCCGGUUCGAGUCCGGCCGCCCCAC
RNAcentral lists this transfer RNA (60 nucleotides) under Bifidobacterium pseudolongum. RNAcentral describes it as "tRNA-OTHER". It matches the Rfam family "tRNA". From Rfam's summary of the family: Transfer RNA (tRNA) molecules are approximately 80 nucleotides in length. Their secondary structure includes four short double-helical elements and three loops (D, anti-codon, and T loops). Lineage: Bacteria; Bacillati; Actinomycetota; Actinomycetes; Bifidobacteriales; Bifidobacteriaceae. The record is from RNAcentral.